RNAcentral lists this long non-coding RNA (4351 nucleotides) under Panax ginseng (ginseng). RNAcentral's name for it is "long non-coding RNA (PGIN_LNC011322)". Lineage: Eukaryota; Viridiplantae; Streptophyta; Magnoliopsida; Apiales; Araliaceae. The record is from RNAcentral.
UCCUCCUUCUAGCUUUGGUGCAUCAUAUAUCCGUCUUUUCCCUCAAUCCAUCUCUCUCUGCUUCGCCGUCAAACUCCAUACAUCUCGCUCACUCCAUCUCUCUGCUCGCUCAAAGUGGAAACCUAAAAAGAAAGUCUCUUUACCCUGCUUAAAUUGGAACUCUAGAAAGAAAUUAUGCAAAUUGAAACUAUUUGAGAAGGUAAUUUCACUCUUGGGUUUUUAAUUUAUUCAUAUUUCUCUCCUCUAGCUCUAAUUUUGUUUUGAUUGCCACUAUUUUUCCCCUAUUUCUAUCUUUCCUCUAACAAGCCCUAAAUUUCGAAGAAGCUAGGUGGUUUGUUGUGGCGACUGUGUGUUCGGAUUUCUCCUCCUCCGUUGUUGAUCCUAAAUUAAAGGUUAGUUUCUAACUUUGUAUGCUUACUGUGAAGAAACUCAAUCUUAUUGGUACCUAAUGUUUGUAUAUAAAAACUGUAACUUAUUUGAAUUAUAUAUGCUUGGGACUUGAGGUAUCUAAAUAGUGCAGAGAUAAGCUGGAGGUGGCAAUAGUUAAGAACUUAACUCUCCACUAAGAAUGCUGAGUCAACAGUUUAGUAGGAGGUGUAAUAGAAUCAAUUUAAUAGCAGUGUACUAAAAGGGAUAUAAUUGAAACUCAGCCUUUUUUCUUUGCCCAAAUUGUUCCAUAUAUGUUUCCUUUGUUUUGCUAUUGCCGAGUACAAUUAUCACCAAAUUUUGGUCCAAGUUUCUCUUCAUUCUCGGCUAAACCAACGAAUUGAGCAAGAAGUGGAACAAGGAAGCUAAAGUAAAUUGUAUUGGGGAGAUUCGGAUAGCAGGGCAGCAGUAUGGAAGGGUUAUAACCAUUCCAUAAAUGCUAAAUUCAGUCCAUUAGACUGUUAUCGGAAGGUAAGUUUUAAUUUGUGAAAUUGAAAUCAAAAUUUGAUUGUUUAUGUGAAAUUGAGAAUUUUUAUUACUGUGAUGUUGGAAUUCUAUAAAGAAGGAAUCUAGUUGUUGUUGUGCAGAACAAUAAGGAAGGAAGUUAUGAUUUAAAGCAUGUAUAAAUGGUAGUAAAACAUGUCCAUAUAAAUAAUGCACAUAUCCUGUUUGAUAAAUUAUUUCUUAGAGAGUUCUAAGCAAAAACAGAAAAUUUAGAUGGGGUAAUGAGCAAGAACUCUUUAUAGUUGUUUUAUAAAAUAAAUCAUGUGAAUUGGGUAAGAUAAGUCAAGUCUAAAAGCUAUUUUUAUAGCAAAUAUGAAAUUUGGACUUGGUUUGUGCGGCUGGCUAGUUUUGAGGCCAUGAAAAAUUGAUUUAGAGUAUCCAAACUUGAUAAUUUAUAUUUUUUUUUAAAAUACUAGGAUAUACCUUCUAUAGCAUCCCAAAGUUUGAUUGCAAUUGGAUCUAUGGUUUGAGAAUUAUAAAAUUGCAAAGUAAGGAUCUUGUAAUGAUCAGCAACAGGGCUGUAACAGUGUUGGGCAGCAGUUGCGCCGCGCUGCAGCAGCUGGCCUAGCUUGCUUGUUGACUGUGUUGCCACUGUUUUGGUUAUCUUGACAGUUAAAUUCAUGUAAGGUAGAGCUAAUUCAGUUGUCCCUAAUUUCAAAUUUCUUAUAUUUUAGUUGCUUAUUGCAUUAGUAGCUCAUCAUGGGGAAAUUAUUUUCUUUUAUAGAAUUCCCCAAAAAAUAUCUAAUGUGCUUAAAAAACAAGAUAAUAUAUUAGAACAUAGAACGAGCCUUUCACUUUUCAGAUAAACUCUGCAAAAGCAUUCGCUCCUAGUAGCAAUUUUAAUAAUGUGUUUUCCUUUAUUGAACUUCCUCAAUUUUGUUUCUUUGAGGCCUUGUAUUUUUGAUAACUACUGAUUAUUCAUGCUAAAGUACUGAAGCAGACAACUUUAGUUCAAAAAUGCCCAUGCUGAGUAAGAUUCUUAAUUCUUUGAAUAACUCUCAAUCUAUUAAACGCAGUAAACAUAAUCUAAAUUUAAAAUAUCAAGUACAUAUAAAGAGAUUUAAAGUAAUUUACUAUGUGCCACUCUGAAAUUGGAUUCUGCCUUCUUCUUGAACGUACAUUAAUGUGGUUUUGUAUAUAAAGAACCAGUUUGACCACUCCUAAGAAUUAUUUAGACACGAUUUUAUAUCAGUCUUUUUGAAAGUCUUACCUUGAUUUAGUUAGAAAAUAGAAAAGUGUAUCAAGUUAAAGAGGUAGGUGGCUUUCAGAAAGAAUUUUCUUAGUCUGAGACUAGUAUUUGCAACCAUUUGUUUUCAUCUACAUAAAUCAUAUUUGGAUCUUUUGUUAAUUUGGGGCCAUAAUUUAUUUACGGAAGGCAUGGUUUGGCAUGAAGAAUUCAUAAUUUGGUAAUUUUUUGCUUAAAUUAGGGAUGAAAGGGGAAGGUUGUAGAAUGUUAUAUUAUAUUUUUAUUUAUUUUGGGUUGGGGAGUGGCGGGAGAAAUUUCUUAAUAUCAGGCUUGUUUUAAUCAAAUCGAAAGCAGUAGUAAGUGAAAGUUGAAGCGAAGCUUAUGAUUUAUUUAUCAAAAGAAAGAAAGAAAAGUGCAGCUUAUGAUUUUAUUUUUGGGUAGCGCUAUGGUUUUUAAAUGAUUUCCUAAAUUGAUGUGCCUACAUGAUCAAUCACUAUGAUGCAGUCAAUCGUCAACCAAUGUAUUAACUAAUGACGCAUCAAUUUGCAAACCCAAAUUUGAGAAAUCACUUAAAAGUUAAAACCCUUAAGAACCUAACAUUUUGUUUUGGAAUGACAUUGUUAUGCAGAAUGAUGAUGCCAUUGUGCCAAAGGCAUUUCAUUUUUUCCUUAAAACAGAAAUGUAUACAUAUUAUAAAUGUAUAAAUAUUAUUUCAUUGUCCCAAAUUUAUUUUUUUAUACAUAUUAUAAAUGUAUAAAUAUCUAAGUUUGAUUAAUAAUAAAAUGAAAAAUAAAAAUAAAUAAUAAGUAAAAAUAAUCUGUGGGGAUUUUGGAUUGAAUCAGCAGCAUGUGAUGAGGCUAAGCUCCUUUAAUUUAAUUUUAUUUUUUUAAUGUUUUCGAAGGAUCAGGAAGCUUGGUGUGAUAGUUAGAGACCUACCUUAUGCUGGAAAAAAAAGAGAGCAGUAGAGGCGGGAGAGAGAGAAGAAAACUCUAAUCGACUCACUAAAAGAAAGAAGAUCGAGGAUAAGAUAUGAAGAGAAGCUCUGUUCCUACUUCGUUGCAAAACUGAAGGUAAAAAUCUCUUUCCGUACUCUAUGUUCAUAGUUUUGUAACAUAAAAAUUGAGGGAAAAUUUUCUUUUACUUGUUACUUUCACUUGAAUUAUAUGAUUCAUUGUAGCUUAUUAAGUUGGUAAUAUCAACAUAUUAAUUUUUUUUUUAUUUUUUUUGUAGUUGGGUACUCUUUGCACAAGUGCUUGGAAAACAAUUCUUGAAUUAUCUGAAGGAUUUUCAAGUGUUUGUCAAUUUGGUUGAGGAAAAAAAAUGCCAAAUGAUCCAAUUAAUGGAAAAUGACAGAUCACAGCAAAAAGAGAGGUAGGCACUUGACAUUUGAACCUUUUGUGCUUCAUAAUUUGAAAAGCCCUCAGGGAUUGGUCUUGUCAAAGAAUUCCAACUUAAAUUACACAUUAUAUCUAGUUCUUGCAAGUAGCCAAUCUCAUUUGGGAUUGAACCUCUCAUUCUAUUGCUGCUUAUAUCCAAGAACUGCAAAUCCUUACAGAGGCCUAAUGACUUGGGAAUCAAACCAGUGAUGUAGUUUCCACUCAACACAAGUUUGUUCAAUAAUCUGAGCUUCCCCAAAUUUUACCUAUUCCUUUUAAUUCCCCCCCCCCCCCCUCCCCUCCCCUCCCCUCCCCUCCCCUUAAAUUUUACUACCUGAUUAACUAUCUUCUUAUUUUUUCAUAUUUAACAUUUUUCACUUUAUGUAACUCAAGCUAGAGAAAGUAGUUGUGCAGCCAACUCCAGUUUCAUGGUGAGUUCUUUGUACUAGUUUAGGAUCAUUGUCUGUUGCCAAAAGAGGUUUUUAUUUUAUUUUUUAUUUUUUUUAAUUUAAGUUCGUCAGUUUCAUCUUUUCUUAUUUCUCGUCUUAUUGAAAUUGAAUUUUGGUGUUUCUCUUGCAGCAUGAAGUUUACAUGCCCAACCUUUGAUUUUCUUGAAGAAAAUGAUGAUGAAGUGGAUCUAACAUGUCACACUUUAUUCCUUCUAGUUCAUUGUUAUUUUUUUAGUUUUCUUAUUUUAGUUAAUAAAUUUUGUAGGUACUAUGGUCCUUGGGAGACCAAGAUACAAUAACAAAUUUUGUAGUUAUUGUGACUCGAGUAUUAUGAUCUAUUUAUAUGUGAAGUUUUAAUUUUAUAAGCUCUUUAUGCAUUAGCUUAUCAAUUAGAUUGAAAAAAGUAUGGC